This is a small nucleolar RNA of Hucho hucho (huchen), 129 nucleotides long. Lineage: Eukaryota; Metazoa; Chordata; Actinopteri; Salmoniformes; Salmonidae. The record is from Ensembl.
CCCUCUUACAAAGGCGCACUUGCAUUGGUCUGCUUGCACGUGCGUAAGAACUGGAGGAAUAUUAAGUGAAUGUUGAUCUCUCUAUGGCUUCCUGCUCUAGCGGUCAAGCCAAUCAGCACUCUUACAUAU